RNAcentral lists this ribosomal RNA (345 nucleotides) under Triticum aestivum (bread wheat). RNAcentral describes it as "partial small subunit ribosomal RNA". Lineage: Eukaryota; Viridiplantae; Streptophyta; Magnoliopsida; Poales; Poaceae. The record is from RNAcentral.
GAGACCGCCGCACAUCUCCUCUUUCAGUGUAGAUUCACCACUCGAGUUUGGAAUGAAGUUGUCAGCUGGCUCGGCCUGCAUGGCCAUUCGCCGAUGGCUUGGCACCAUGAAAACUCUGUCCGUGGUUGGUGGCUCCGUUCGGUGCAGGCUGGAGGCCACAUCAAAAAGGCCACCGCCUCGGUGAUGAUGCUUGUUUCUUGGGAAAUAUGGAAGGAGCGAAACGCCAGAAUCUUCAGCAACACUGCCGCCCCGACCACCGUUGUCGUUGCAAGGAUCAAAGAGGAGGCCCAGCUUUGGGCGUUGGCGGGAGCGAAACAUCUGAGUAGUCUGAUGUCACGAGAGUAG